UUUGCCUACGGGGCGCAGCAGUUAGGAAUAUUGGGCAAUGGAGGAAACUCUGACCCAGCAACGCCGCGUGAAGGAAGAAGGUUUUCGGAUUGUAAACUUCUGAUCUGUGGGACGAAGAAAGUGACGGUACCACAGGAGAAAGCCACGGCUAACUACGUGCCAGCAGCCGCGGUAAUACGUAGGUGGCGAGCGUUGUCCGGAAUAACUGGGCGUAAAGGGAGCGUAGGUGGUUGAUUAAGUUAAAUGUGAAAGCCCAGGGCUCAACUCUGGAACUGCAUUUAAUACUGGUCGGCUAGAGUACAGGG
RNAcentral lists this ribosomal RNA (305 nucleotides) under uncultured bacterium. RNAcentral describes it as "bacterial SSU rRNA". It matches the Rfam family "Bacterial small subunit ribosomal RNA", at positions 334 to 653 of the family's 1533-position model. The record is from RNAcentral.